AUUGAACGCUGGCGGCAGGCUUAACACAUGCAAGUCGAACGGUAACGCGGGGCAACCUGGCGACGAGUGGCGAACGGGUGAGUAAUGCAUCGGAACGUGCCCAGUAGUGGGGGAUAGCCCGGCGAAAGCCGGAUUAAUACCGCAUACGACCUAAGGGUGAAAGCGGGGGACCGUAAGGCCUCGCGCUAUUGGAGCGGCCGAUGUCAGAUUAGGUUGUUGGUGGGGUAAAAGCCUACCAAGCCGACGAUCUGUAGCUGGUCUGAGAGGACGACCAGCCACACUGGGACUGAGACACGGCCCAGACUCCUACGGGAGGCAGCAGUGGGGAAUUUUGGACAAUGGGGGCAACCCUGAUCCAGCCAUGCCGCGUGCGGGAAGAAGGCCUUCGGGUUGUAAACCGCUUUUGUCAGGGAAGAAACGCUCUGGGUUAAUACCUCGGGGUAAUGACGGUACCUGAAGAAUAAGCACCGGCUAACUACGUGCCAGCAGCCGCGGUAA
Molecule: ribosomal RNA, 498 nt
Filed under: uncultured bacterium
Lineage: Bacteria
Description: partial 16S ribosomal RNA
Rfam family: Bacterial small subunit ribosomal RNA
Source: RNAcentral